RNAcentral lists this unclassified non-coding RNA (379 nucleotides) under uncultured bacterium. Its description in RNAcentral is "contains 16S-23S intergenic spacer region". The record is from RNAcentral.
UCCGGUUUGUCACCGGCAGUCUCCUUAAAGUGCUCAACUAAAUGGUAGCAACUAAGGACAAGGGUUGCGCUCGUUGCGGGACUUAACCCAACAUCUCACGACACGGGCUGACGACGGCCAUGCAGCACCUGUGUUCUAGCUCUCUUUCGAGCACGAAACCAUCUCUGGUAACUUCUAGACAUGUCAAGGGUAGGUAAGGUUUUUCGCGUUGCAUCGAAUUAAACCACAUCAUCCACCGCUUGUGCGGGUCCCCGUCAAUUCCUUUGAGUUUCGGCCUUGCGACCGUACUCCCCAGGCGGGGUGCUUAACGUGUUAACUAAGGCACCGCAGGGGUCGAUACCCGCGACACCGAGCACCCAUCGUUUACAGCGUGGACUAC